Anser cygnoides (Swan goose) is the source of this 2145-nucleotide long non-coding RNA. NCBI's taxonomy places the organism in Eukaryota, Metazoa, Chordata, Aves, Anseriformes, Anatidae. The record is from Ensembl.
UCCUGCCAUUCCUUUUUUUUUUCUUGGUAUCUCAUUUUAUUUUUUUUACCUUUGGGGUUGAAAAGCUGGUAAAUAAGAUUACAGCACAGACAUGCAGAAAAUAAAAUGUAGUGGAAAUGUGUAAACAAGAUUACUAGGACAAAACAGUGCCUCUCAGCACAUUAACUGCACUGUGGGGAAGGACAGUUGGGGCAGGCCUCAAGGCAUUUUUGCCUGGGUACAGCAGAUGCAGGCAGAAAAUACUAAUGCAGAUCUGCUCUCAUCUCUGUUCAAUGAGCAUAGAUGAACUGAGGAUGGGCAAGAAGCAUAAUGAGCUUGAUGUUUUUUUUUGUUUUGUUUUGUUUUUUUUUAAUUCUUUCUCCCCCACACCCACACACUUAAACCAUCUUGGAAUUCCACAAUUCUGAAAGGAUCUCAGCUGUCAUUUCUCUGUCUCUCAUGCCUGCACGCACACACUUUCUAACCCUGUAGGUCAAAAAUAGGACAUUAGGAGUCCUCUUAGGAUGAGAAAUCCAGUAAUGACCAGCAAGUUUUGUUAAUGACAAGAAGAGGGUGCUUUUGGAUGGGGUGUUUGUUGUUGAUUUAAAAUGUUUGAGAUUGUUGGCAAAGCCCCUGUCUGCCCAAUAUGGUAACCUGUCCUUAGAAUGGUUUGCAGUGCAAUAAACUCUUAUAUUUGAGAGCUCUACAUGAGAAAGGGGUCAUAGGAGAAUAAAAUUAGCUCACUUUAAAAAAAAAAAAUCACGACAAACCCUCCACCUUUCUGAUUGCUGGCAGAAUCUCUGCUCCCUCCCACACAGCCCCAGCUGGAGAGCCUUUUCUUGCAGCGAGAGCUACUCUUCCUGUGCCAGUCUCUUUUCACUCACUGCUCCUCCUCUCCCUGCCUUCCUCAUAGGUAAAGCAUAAACCCUGGCUCCUGAGGGAUGCCCCAGUUAUUUAACAUGAGGGAGGAAAACUGGGGGGGGGAGGAUAUUUGUAUUUGGUGUUAGAUGAGGUCAGGAUGACCUUUCUCACUGCAGAGGUUAACAGGUCCAGUUCUGCAGUGAACAUCCUACUUCUCUUUCAGACUGAAGGUCAAGAAGCUGGGAUAGCUGACAAGCAAGUGAAUCAGGUGGAAAUGAGGUCCUCUUAUGUUUACAAUUGCAUGAGACAUCUCCCAUUUGCCAGGAAAUUGAAGUCUGAGAAAACUACAGUGAUAAUCAAGACAGAAACUGAGAGUAGAUAACAUCUGCAUUAAUUUUACCAUGGAAGAUGAUCUGGUCUGAUGUGUGUGGUCAGCUCUCUGUGGUUCACAUACAAGAUCCCUGUAAGCCUGUUUGUAGUCUUUCCUCUGUCCUUGUAGUCUCAAAGAGCCUCCAGCAAUUUGUUGGGAACCAUAAGGAAAAGAGGUCCUGCUCUGAACUUGCCGAUCUUUCUGCUGGGAGAGUGGUGUGGAAAUAUGAAGAAUAAUCUGUGAGGAGAGAAGUCUCAUAUUUCUAAUUUCUGUUCUGGGAAUAACAUCAUUCCCUUCCAGUGGUACAACUUCCCAGAUACCCUAAAUUAGCGUGCAUAAACAUCCCAUAUUUCAAAGUGUGUUUGUCCAUGUAAUAAUAUAGGGAGAAAAAAUAUAAAAGAGCUGAGACUUGUGGUAAAGUUAAGACUAACGAAUAGGAUUAAAAAUUACCAGCCCUACUGAGCUAACAGAUCUGCUGUGCUUCAGCCUAAUAUUACAGCCCUUGUGUAUUCCCAGAAAGCUUAAUGCAGGAUAAUGCAGUAUUUCAAAUCUUUUUUUGAUAUUUCAGGUACCACAGAACAUAACUCAGGGAAAUAAUUCAAUAUCCUACAUGUGGCAUUGAUCCAUUUGCAAUAGAUAACAAAGCUUAUGUUGAGCUCUUACAGGUCAGAAGAAUCUUGAUCACAAAAUAAGCAACAGAAAUGCCCUUAUCAUCCAUACAUGAGAAAAAAUGGUGUGAUUGCAUCUCAUUCUCUUAUGUAGGCUAAGAUAAGAACAGUCUGCCACCAGGACAGUGUUUUGAUACUGAACAUUGUUUAUGCAGACACUACUAUCUGCAGAAGCUCCAUCCUUCCCAAAAUCCUAGCAUGUGAAGCUUUAGUAAAUUAGGUAAGAUUUUCUGCCCUAACAAAUAAAUCCCUUCUUAAUGUCCUCCA